ACUCAAAGGAAUUGACGGGGGCCCGCACAAGCGGAGGAGCAUGUGGUUUAAUUCGAUGAUACGCGAGGAACCUUACCCGGGCUUGAAUUGCAGUGGAAUAGCCAAGAAAUUGGUUAGUCUUCGGACCACUGUGAAGGUGCUGCAUGGUUGUCGUCAGCUCGUGCCGUGAGGUGUUAGGUUAAGUCCUGCAACGAGCGCAACCCUUACACUUAGUUGCCAGCACGUAGCGGUGGGAACUCUAGGUGAACUGCCUACGCAAGUAGAGAGGAAGGUGGGGAUGACGUCAAAUCAGCACGGCCCUUAUGUUCGGGGCUACACACGUGCUACAAUGGUCGGUACAGAGGGCAGCUACCCCGCGAGGGGAUGCGAAUCUCGAAAGCCGAUCUCAGUUCGGAUCGGAGUCUGUAACUCGACUCCGUGAAGUUGGAUUCGCUAGUAAUCGCGCAUCAGCCAUGGCGCGGUGAAUACGUUCCCGGGCCUUGCACACACCGCCCGU
RNAcentral lists this ribosomal RNA (496 nucleotides) under uncultured bacterium. RNAcentral describes it as "bacterial SSU rRNA". It matches the Rfam family "Bacterial small subunit ribosomal RNA", at positions 899 to 1397 of the family's 1533-position model. The record is from RNAcentral.